RNAcentral lists this ribosomal RNA (445 nucleotides) under uncultured Gordonia sp. Its description in RNAcentral is "bacterial SSU rRNA". It matches the Rfam family "Bacterial small subunit ribosomal RNA", at positions 338 to 795 of the family's 1533-position model. Lineage: Bacteria; Bacillati; Actinomycetota; Actinomycetes; Mycobacteriales; Gordoniaceae. The record is from RNAcentral.
CCUACGGGAGGCUGCAGUGGGGAAUAUUGCACAAUGGGCGCAAGCCUGAUGCAGCGACGCCGCGUGAGGGAUGACGGCCUUCGGGUUGUAAACCUCUUUCGCCAGGGACGAAGCGCAAGUGACGGUACCUGGAGAAGAAGCACCGGCCAACUACGUGCCAGCAGCCGCGGUAAUACGUAGGGUGCGAGCGUUGUCCGGAAUUACUGGGCGUAAAGAGCUCGUAGGCGGUUUGUCGCGUCGUCUGUGAAAUUCUGCAGCUUAACUGCAGGCGUGCAGGCGAUACGGGCAGACUUGAGUACUACAGGGGAGACUGGAAUUCCUGGUGUAGCGGUGAAAUGCGCAGAUAUCAGGAGGAACACCGGUGGCGAAGGCGGGUCUCUGGGUAGUUACUGACGCUGAGGAGCGAAAGCGUGGGGAGCAAACAGGAUUAGAUACCCCAGUAGUC